Molecule: ribosomal RNA, 435 nt
Filed under: uncultured bacterium
Lineage: Bacteria
Description: partial 16S ribosomal RNA
Rfam family: Bacterial small subunit ribosomal RNA
Source: RNAcentral
AGCGAACGCUGGCGGCAGGCUUAACACAUGCAAGUCGAACGGGCAUAGCAAUAUGUCAGUGGCAGACGGGUGAGUAACGCGUGGGAACGUACCUUUUGGUUCGGAACAACACAGGGAAACUUGUGCUAAUACCGGAUAAGCCCUUACGGGGAAAGAUUUAUCGCCGAAAGAUCGGCCCGCGUCUGAUUAGCUAGUUGGUAGGGUAAUGGCCUACCAAGGCGACGAUCAGUAGCUGGUCUGAGAGGAUUAUCAGCCACAUUGGGACUGAGACACGGCCCAAACUCCUACGGGAGGCAGCAGUGGGGAAUAUUGGGCAAUGGGCGAAAGCCUGAUCCAGCCAUGCCGCGUGAGUGAUGAAGGCCCUAGGGUUGUAAAGCUCUUUUGUGCGGGAAGAUAAUGACGGUACCGCAAGAAUAAGCCCCGGCUAACUUCGUG